GGUUGAUCCUGCCAGUAGUCAUAUGCUUGUCUUAAAGACUAAGCCAUGCAUGUCUAAGUAUAAAUAUUAUACAGUGAAACUGCGAAUGGCUCAUUAAAACAGUUAUAGUUUAUUCGAUAAUUUCUCCUACAUGGAUAACCGUAGUAAUUCUAGAGCUAAUACAUGCUGUCAAACCUGACUUCUUGGAAGGGUUGUAUUUAUUAGAUAUCCUCUUGGUAGUGGUGAAUGGGAGUGGGAGUGGGAUGUUGAGUGUAUAAAUUGUAAAAUGACACUUCUCUAAAAUUUGUCACUUU
Molecule: ribosomal RNA, 293 nt
Filed under: uncultured eukaryote
Lineage: Eukaryota
Description: partial 18S ribosomal RNA
Rfam family: Eukaryotic small subunit ribosomal RNA
Source: RNAcentral